CGGUCAUUGAGGGAGAAGCCAUUGCUUUGCUGGAAGGUCUUCGUCUUUGCCGGGAACGGGGAGAUUCGGAUGUUAUCUUCGAAACUGAUAGCCAAGUCCUUUAUUGGCUGUUGAUGAAGAAGGAAAAGGAUAUGUCUUAUUUGGGAGAUACGCUGAGAACUAUCCAGGAGAUUUUGGUUUCUUUCCGCCAUUUUGCUUUUAGCUGGACGCCUCGUGAAGGGAAUGCGGCUGCCGACAAACUUGCUGGUUUUGCUUUAUGUAAUGUUUUACCUCUUUCUUCCGCUAGGGUGUUGCCUGUUACUGUGAACUCUCCUUCGUUUUAAUGAUAGCUUCUUUUAUUCUCAAAAAA
Molecule: long non-coding RNA, 349 nt
Filed under: Salvia miltiorrhiza (redroot sage)
Lineage: Eukaryota; Viridiplantae; Streptophyta; Magnoliopsida; Lamiales; Lamiaceae
Description: long non-coding RNA (SMIL_LNC009417)
Source: RNAcentral